This 811-nucleotide non-coding RNA is filed under the name Ips sexdentatus. The record is from RNAcentral. Lineage: Eukaryota; Metazoa; Arthropoda; Insecta; Coleoptera; Curculionidae.
AAAGAAUAUUUUAUUCUAUAUUUUUAUUUGUUUUUUAAUUUAAUGUGAGUUUUAGCGUUAAAAAGGAUUUGUUUUAAAUAAACAAAGUAGGAUUUUUGGUGAGCAGUGAUUAAUUUUGUAAAUUUAAUAUUUUAAGAUGAAGAUAAUAAUUUUUAGUACUGACUAAAUUUGUGCCAGCAGCUGCGGUUAUACAAAUAGUGCAAUAAAAAUAGCUUAGAGUGAGUUAAAAUAUUAACAAGAAUAAGGGAAUUUUAAAGUUUAAAGUAAAAUUAUGAGGUGAAAUUUUUAUUUUUACAAAGUUUUAAAGAUGUUUUUAGAUUUGAGGCUUAGAAAUUUUAUUUUAAAACUAGGAUUAGAUACCCUAUUAUAAAAACGUAGUAUUAAAACUCUAGAUUAGUAGUAGAAAGAUUUUUUUUAAUCAGAUGUUCUUGAAAAUUAGAAAAAAUGGCGGUGUUUUAGUCUUUUCAGAGGAACCUGUCCUGUAAUUGAUGGUCCACGAUUUCCUUUACUUUUUUUUUGAGUUUAUAUAUCGCCGUGGUUGAAUAUUCUUUUGGGGAAUUAAUAUUCAAGAUUUUUAGCAAUAAAAAUUCAGGUCAAGAUGUAGUUUAUAAAAAAGAAGAGAUGGGUUACAUUAAUUAUAAUUUUGGAUAAGUUUUUUAAAAAAGCUUUGAAAAUGGAUUUGAAGGUAAUUUUAUUAAAUUAUUUAAAAUGAUUUUAGCUCUAAAAUGUGUACAUAUCGCCCGUCGCUUUCAUUAUAAAAUGAAAUAAGUCGUAACAUAGUAGAUGUACUGGAAAGUGUCUCUAGAAGCUA